Molecule: ribosomal RNA, 1321 nt
Filed under: Cnethodonta grisescens
Lineage: Eukaryota; Metazoa; Arthropoda; Insecta; Lepidoptera; Notodontidae
Description: 16S ribosomal RNA
Source: RNAcentral
GAGGGGGCAAAUUAAUAACAUUAAUAAUAAUAAAAAUAAUUUUAAUAAUAAAAUAUUUAAUGGGGGUUAAAGUAUUUUAUUAGAAAAAAUUAUUAAUUUAAUAGGGGAAAGUAUUGUGAAAGAAUUUUGAAAUAAAUGAAAUAUAAAAAUUAUUUAAAAGUAAUUUUAAUUUGAUGUAUCUUGUGUAUCAGAGUUUAUUAAUUAUAUUUUUUAAGAAAAAAAUUCUCGAAUUUAAAAGAGAUAAUUAAUUAAAAAAGUUAUUGUGGCAUAAAUAUUUUUAAUAAUUAAUUAGAAAUGAGAUGUUAAUCGUUUUUAAAUAUAUCUAGUUUUUUUAGAAAAAAAUUUAAUUUUAAAUUUUUAUUUAAAAAUAAUAAUUAAUUAUUAUUUUUAAAUAAGAAUUUUAUAUUUUAAGGGAUAAGCUUUAAAUUAAAUUUAUAUAAUAAUAUUUAAAUUAAAUAAAAAUUUUAUAAUUUAUAUUAUUAAUAAAUUUUAGUUUAUUAUAAAUAAUUUUAUUUAAUUAUAAAAUUUAAAUUAAAUUUAUAUUUUUAUAAAAAAAUAAUUUUUAGCUUGAAAAAUUUAGAAAUAAUAAUAAAAUUAGUAUAUAAAAUUCAAAUAAAUUAUUAAAAUUUUGAUAAUUAAGAAAAAGUAAUUCGGCAAAUAUUUAUAUUCACUUGUUUAUCAAAAACAUGUCUUUUUGUAAAUAAUUUAAGGUCUAAUCUGCCCACUGAUUGAUAAAUUGAAGGGCUGCAGUAAUUUGACUGUACAAAGGUAGCAUAAUCAUUAGUCAUUUAAUUGAUGACUUGUAUGAAGGAUUGGAUGAAAUAUAAACUGUCUCUUUUUUAAUUUAUAGAAUUUAAUUUUUUAAUUAAAAAGUUAAAAUAGAUUAAAAAGACGAGAAGACCCUAUAGAGUUUUAUUUAAAAUAUAAUUAAAUUUAUUUAUAAAAUUUUAUAAUUAUAAUUAAUUUUUAAAUUUUAUUGGGGUGAUAGAAAAAUAAAAUUAACUUUUUUUAAAGUUUUAACAUAGAUAAAUGAUUAUAUGAUCCAGUUAUAUUGAUUAUAAGAAAAAAUUACCUUAGGGAUAACAGCGUAAUUUUUUUUUUUAGUUCGAAUAAAAAAAAGAGUUUGCGACCUCGAUGUUGGAUUAAGAUAAAAUUUAAAUGUAGAAGUUUAAAAUUUUGAUCUGUUCGAUCAUUAAAAUCUUACAUGAUCUGAGUUCAAACCGGUGUAAGCCAGGUUGGUUUCUAUCUUUUAGAGGGAUAAAUAUUUUAGUACGAAAGGAAUAAAUAUUAAAAUUAAAUUUAUUAUAAGAAUGUUAUUAAU